GAUGAAGAACGCAGCGAAAUGCGAUAAGUAGUGUGAAUUGCAGAAUUCAGUGAAUCAUCGAAUCUUUGAACGCACCUUGCGCUUCUUGGUAUCCAUUCCAAGAAGCAUGUCUGUUUGAGUGUCACGAAAUUAUCAAAUCACGCCUCUACCUUUUAAAACAGGUUCCGGCUUGAUUUGGAUUGUGGAAGUUGCUGGCUUUUUGUAGUCUGCUCUUCUUAAAUAUAUUAGCAAAAGUCUGAUUUGCUUGUCUUUGGUAUAAUACUAACUUUGUAUCAUUGAUGGGUCGAGCUUUCAUUUAAAUGAGCAGAACUUGUGCUUCCAACUGUCUGCCAAGACAAGUUUGAAAAUUUGGCCUCAAAUCAGAUAGGACUACCCGCUGAACUUAAGCAUAUCAAUAAGCGGAGGA
Molecule: unclassified non-coding RNA, 406 nt
Filed under: soil metagenome
Description: partial contains 5.8S ribosomal RNA, internal transcribed spacer 2, and large subunit ribosomal RNA
Rfam family: 5.8S ribosomal RNA (bases 1-124)
Source: RNAcentral